UAAUGGCUCACCAAGGCGACGAUCCCUAGCUGGUCUGAGAGGAUGAUCAGCCACACUGGAACUGAGACACGGUCCAGACUCCUACGGGAGGCAGCAGUGGGGAAUAUUGCACAAUGGGCGCAAGCCUGAUGCAGCCAUGCCGCGUGUGUGAAGAAGGCCUUCGGGUUGUAAAGCACUUUCAGUCGUGAGGAAGGUGGUAUUGUUAAUAGCACUAUCAUUUGACGUUAGCGACAGAAGAAGCACCGGCUAACUCCGUGCCAGCAGCCGCGGUAAUACGGAGGGUGCGAGCGUUAAUCGGAAUUACUGGGCGUAAAGCGCAUGCAGGUGGUUUGUUAAGUCAGAUGUGAAAGCCCGGGGCUCAACCUCGGAAUAGCAUUUGAAACUGGCAGACUAGAGUACUGUAGAGGGGGGUAGAAUUUCAGGUGU
Molecule: ribosomal RNA, 426 nt
Filed under: Vibrio harveyi
Lineage: Bacteria; Pseudomonadati; Pseudomonadota; Gammaproteobacteria; Vibrionales; Vibrionaceae
Also listed under: 2 other names
Description: bacterial SSU rRNA
Rfam family: Bacterial small subunit ribosomal RNA
Source: RNAcentral